AAAAGCACUUUGAAAAGAGAGUGCAAGAGAACGUGAAAUCGAUAUAAUGGAAGCGAAUGAAGUCGACGUAUCUGGCGCGUAUUCAGUUGUUGGGGUUGUCAAUCUCUUGGAUUCGGUAUUCCGCAAGGUUGCCGGUUCAGGUGUUGUUGGCUGCUUCAGCAAUGCGUUUGCGUGUGGAGUGCGAUGGGUCGGUUGGUGUUGUUGGUGGAAGCGGUUUGAGAGGAUGUAGCUGCGCAAGUGGUUGCAUAACCUUGGAUUGUGGAAACCGAUUGAUGCUUUCCGAUUAUUUGGAACACUGGUCUUGUUCGGAGUUGGGCGUUGAGAUUUGCGCUAUUCGUUGGAGGAACGCGUGCGUUCUUCUGCGGGUUGUGUAGAUUUUGGUGUUCAAUUCCUCUGUUGUUCCUCUCGUCGUAUAGUCGAUCACUCAUUCGACCCGUCUUGAAACACGGACCAAGGAGUUUAUAGUACACGCGAGUCAUUGAGUUAUGAACGAAACUCAAAGGCGAAAUGAAAGUAAGACAGGUCUGUAGUGAAAUAUGAUUGUGCUGGUUUGGUUCUACCAAAACUGUGCAAGCAGUAUUGCCCCGUAUCAUGGACUUGUCCAGGUGCGGAGGUUAAGCGUGUGCAAUGAGACCCGAAAGAUGGUGAACUAUGCCUGAACAGGAUGAAGCCAGAGGAAACUCUGGUGGAAGUCCGAAACGGUUCUGACGUGCAAAUCGAUCGUCUGAUUUUGGUAUAGGAGCGAAAGACUAAUCGAACUAUC
RNAcentral lists this ribosomal RNA (763 nucleotides) under Ektaphelenchoides sp. FFPRI SB1. RNAcentral describes it as "eukaryotic LSU rRNA". It matches the Rfam family "Eukaryotic large subunit ribosomal RNA", at positions 367 to 944 of the family's 3401-position model. The record is from RNAcentral. Lineage: Eukaryota; Metazoa; Nematoda; Chromadorea; Rhabditida; Aphelenchoididae.